This 97-nucleotide small nuclear RNA is filed under the name Vombatus ursinus (common wombat). Lineage: Eukaryota; Metazoa; Chordata; Mammalia; Diprotodontia; Vombatidae. The record is from RNAcentral.
GUUUUCAUUUUGGCAGCACAAACACCAAAACUGGAAUAACACAGAGAAGAUGAGCAUGGUUCCUGAACAAGAAUAGCAUUAAAUACUCCAUAUUUUA